Molecule: ribosomal RNA, 461 nt
Filed under: uncultured bacterium
Lineage: Bacteria
Description: SSU rRNA
Rfam family: Bacterial small subunit ribosomal RNA
Source: RNAcentral
AGAGCGAACGCUGGCGGCAGGCCUAAUACAUGCAAGUCGAACGGACCCUUCGGGGUUAGUGGCGGACGGGUGAGUAACACGUGGGAACGUGCCCUUUGGUUCGGAACAACUCAGGGAAACUUGAGCUAAUACCGAAUGUGCCCCCAUCCUUAAACAAGAUGGGUGGGAAAGAUUUAUCGCCAUUGGAGCGGCCCGCGUCUGAUUAGCUAGUUGGUGAGGUAAAGGCUCACCAAGGCGACGAUCAGUAGCUGGUCUGAGAGGAUGAUCAGCCACACUGGGACUGAGACACGGCCCAGACUCCUACGGGAGGCAGCAGUGGGGAAUAUUGGACAAUGGGCGCAAGCCUGAUCCAGCCAUGCCGCGUGAGUGAUGACGGCCUUAGGGUUGUAAAGCUCUUUCGCUAGGGACGAUAAUGACGGUACCUAGACAAGAACGCCCGGCUAACUCGUGCCAGCAGCCGC